Molecule: ribosomal RNA, 253 nt
Filed under: uncultured bacterium
Lineage: Bacteria
Description: partial 16S ribosomal RNA
Rfam family: Bacterial small subunit ribosomal RNA
Source: RNAcentral
UACGGAGGAGGCAAGCGUUGUUCGGAUUCAUUGGGCGUAAAGGGUGUGUAGGUGGCGCGCUAAGUCGGGUGUGAAAUUUCGGAGCUUAACUCCGAAACUGCAUUCGAUACUGGCGUGCUUGAGGACUGGAGAGGAGACUGGAAUUCAUGGUGUAGCAGUGAAAUGCGUAGAGAUCAUGAGGAAGACCAGUGGCGAAGGCGGGUCUCUGGACAGUUCCUGACACUGAGAAGCGAAAGCAUGGGGAGCGAACAGG